RNAcentral lists this ribosomal RNA (334 nucleotides) under uncultured cyanobacterium. Its description in RNAcentral is "bacterial SSU rRNA". It matches the Rfam family "Bacterial small subunit ribosomal RNA", at positions 376 to 724 of the family's 1533-position model. The record is from RNAcentral. Lineage: Bacteria; Bacillati; Cyanobacteriota.
CGCAAGCCUGACGGAGCAAGACCGCGUGGGGGAGGAAGGCUCUUGGGUUGUAAACCCCUUUUCUCUGGGAAGAACAAAAUGACGGUACCAGAGGAAUCAGCAUCGGCUAACUCCGUGCCAGCAGCCGCGGUAAGACGGAGGAUGCAAGCGUUAUCCGGAAUGAUUGGGCGUAAAGCGUCCGCAGGUGGCAGUUCAAGUCUGCUGUCNAAGACCGGGGCUUAACUUCGGACAGGCNGUGGAAACUGAACAGCUAGAGUAUGGUAGGGGCNNAGGGAAUUCCCGGUGUAGCGGUGAAAUGCGUAGAGAUCGGGAAGAACAUCGGUGGCGAAAGCGC